Molecule: ribosomal RNA, 446 nt
Filed under: uncultured bacterium
Lineage: Bacteria
Description: partial 16S ribosomal RNA
Rfam family: Bacterial small subunit ribosomal RNA
Source: RNAcentral
CCUACGGGUGGCAGCAGUAGGGAAUUUUCGGCAAUGGGGGGAACCCUGACCGAGCAACGCCGCGUGAACGAAGAAGUUAUUCGUAAUGUAAAGUUCUUUUAACAGGGAAGAAAGAGAAAUUUGACGGUACCUGAAGAAUAAGCCCCGGCUAACUACGUGCCAGCAGUCGCGGUAAGACGUAGGGAGCGAGGGUUAUCCGGAAUUAUUGGGCGAAAAGGGUGCGUAGAUGGCAUAGUAAGUCUUUUGGAAAAAUGCUGGGCUCAACCCAGUAGGGCAAAAGAAACUGCAAAGCUAGAGUAUGACAGAGGCAAGUGGAACUACAUGUGUAGCGGUAAAAUGCGUAAAUAUAUGUAAGAACACCAGUGGCGAAGGCGGCUUGCUGGGUCGAUACUGACAUUGAGGCACGAAAGCGUGGGGAGCAAACAGGAUUAGAUACCCCUGUAGUC